GAGUAGAUUUGAAGUAGAGUAGAUAAGUAGGAUCAUCUGAUCCUACUGAACUACCUUACUUCGAGUUUACGUCC
This 74-nucleotide microRNA precursor is filed under the name Haemonchus placei. RNAcentral's name for it is "mir-5928 microRNA precursor family". It matches the Rfam family "mir-5928 microRNA precursor family". The record is from Rfam by way of RNAcentral. Lineage: Eukaryota; Metazoa; Nematoda; Chromadorea; Rhabditida; Trichostrongylidae.